GUCGGUGGAGGCAGGUUUGCCAG
Molecule: microRNA, 23 nt
Filed under: Cordylochernes scorpioides
Lineage: Eukaryota; Metazoa; Arthropoda; Arachnida; Pseudoscorpiones; Chernetidae
Source: RNAcentral